This 1379-nucleotide ribosomal RNA is filed under the name Trechispora torrendii. RNAcentral describes it as "Trechispora sp. RC-2019d partial large subunit ribosomal RNA". It matches the Rfam family "Eukaryotic large subunit ribosomal RNA", at positions 45 to 1445 of the family's 3401-position model. The record is from RNAcentral. Lineage: Eukaryota; Fungi; Basidiomycota; Agaricomycetes; Trechisporales; Hydnodontaceae.
AAUAAGCGGAGGGAAAAGAAACUAACAAGGAUUCCCCUAGUAACUGCGAGUGAAGCGGGAAAAGCUCAAAUUUCAAAUCUGGCGGUUACGCCGUCCGAGUUGUAUUCUGGAGAAGCGUUUUCCGUGCCGGACCGUGUACAAGUCCCUUGGAACAGGGCGUCGUAGAGGGUGAGAAUCCCGUCUUUGACACGGACCGCCGGCGCUAUGCGAUGCGCUCUCGACGAGUCGAGUUGUUUGGGAAUGCAGCUCAAAAUGGGUGGUAAAUUCCAUCUAAAGCUAAAUAUUGGCGAGAGACCGAUAGCGAACAAGUACCGUGAGGGAAAGAUGAAAAGCACUUUGGAAAGAGAGUAAAACAGUACGUGAAAUUGUUGAAAGGGAAACGCUUGAAGUCAGUCGCGUCUGCCGGAACUCAGCCUUGCUUCUGCUUGGCGCACUUUCCGGCCCGACGGGCCAGCAUCGGUUUUGGGUGUCGGACACUGGCGAGGGGAAGGUGGCAGCUCCGGCUGUGUUAUAGCCCCUCGUCGCAAACGCCGCCYGGGACCGAGGAAUCCGGCGCAAGCCUGGGAUGCUGGCGUAAUGGCUUUAAACGACCCGUCUUGAAACACGGACCAAGGAGUGCUACGUGCUCGCGAGUGUUUGGGUGGAAAACCCAGACGCGCAAUGAAAGUGAAAGUCGAUACCCCUCGCGGGGGCACCGACGCCCGAGCCUGAUGUUUUCGGAAGGCCUUGCGGUAGAGCGAGUGCGUUGCGACCCGAAAGAUGGUGAACUAUUCCUGAGCAGGGCGAAGCCAGAGGAAACUCUGGUGGAGGCUCGUAGCGGUUCUGACGUGCAAAUCGAUCGCAGGACUUGGGUAUAGGGGCGAAAGACUAAUCGAACCAUCUAGUAGCUGGUUCCUGCCGAAGUUUCCCUCAGGAUAGCAGAAGCUCAUAUCAGAUUUAUGUGGUAAAGCGAAUGAUUAGAGGCCUUGGGGUUGAAACAACCUUAACCUAUUCUCAAACUUUAAAUAUGUAAGGACGAGCCGUCUCUUGAUUGGACCGCUCGACGAUUGAGAGCUUCUAGUGGGCCAUUUUUGGUAAGCAGAACUGGCGAUGCGGGAUGAACCGAUCGCGAGGUUAAGGUGCCGGAAUGCACGCUCAUCAGACACCACAAAAGGUGUUAGUUCAUCUAGACAGCAGGACGGUGGCCAUGGAAGUCGGAACCCGCUAAGGAGUGUGUAACAACUCACCUGCCGAAUGAACUAGCCCUGAAAAUGGAUGGCGCUCAAGCGUGCUACCCAUACCUCGCCGUCGGCGUUGAAGUGACGCGCCGACGAGUAGGCAGGCGUGGGGGUCUGUGAAGAAGCCUAGGCAGCGAUGCUGGGUGAAACGGCCCCUAGUGC